GUACUUGCUAAUGGCAAAGCGGAUUCUGCAGUCAUGAAGGUGGUUUCACCAGGACGUGACUUUUCUGUUGUACUUCGACUACGUUGAUAACUACGAUUAUAUCAAGUGUGAGUAACUCGAGUGCACAAUUUAUGGUAGUCAGGACUGCAUUCGCACAUACCUGAC
Molecule: small nuclear RNA, 165 nt
Organism: Schistocerca piceifrons (Central American locust)
Lineage: Eukaryota; Metazoa; Arthropoda; Insecta; Orthoptera; Acrididae
Product: U1 spliceosomal RNA
Exons: 1
Source: RefSeq, a predicted model, not a curated record